AUUGAACGCUGGCGGCAGGCCUAACACAUGCAAGUCGGGCGAGCGGCGGACGGGUGAGUAAUGUAUGGGAAUCUAGCUUAUGGAGGGGGAUAACUACGGGAAACUGUAGCUAAUACCGCGUACCAUAGGAUGAGCCCAGGUGGGAUUAGGUAGUUGGUGAGGUAAAGGCUCACCAAGCCGACGAUCUCUAGCUGGUCUGAGAGGAUGACCAGCCACACUGGGACUGAGACACGGUCCAGACUCCUACGGGAGGCAGCAGUGGGGAAUAUUGCGCAAUGGGGGCAACCUGACGCAGCCAUGCCGCGUGAAUGAAGAAGGCCUUCGGGUUGUAAAGUUCUUUCGGUAGCGAGGCGUUAACUACAGAAGAAGCACCGGCUAACUCCGUGCCAGCAGCCGCGGUAAUAC
This 405-nucleotide ribosomal RNA is filed under the name uncultured bacterium. Its description in RNAcentral is "partial 16S ribosomal RNA". It matches the Rfam family "Bacterial small subunit ribosomal RNA", at positions 30 to 526 of the family's 1533-position model. The record is from RNAcentral.